GGAGGUGCCAGACAGGUGUGCCAUCAACAACAGAGUUCAGACAUUAGAGGGUGAUGGAGAUGCCAGCCAGGUGUGCCACCAAUAACAGAGUUCAGACACUAGAGGGCAAUGGAGAUGCCAGCCAGGUGUGCCACCAAUAACAGAGUUCAGACACUAGAGGGCAAUGGAGGUGCCAGCCAGGUGUGCCACCAAUACCAGAGUUCAGAUACUAGAAGGCAAUGGAGGUGCCAGCUAAGUGUGCCACCAAUAACAGAGUUCAGACACUAGAGGGUGACGUAGUCAGUGACACCAGUGCUCUAAAUUCCAGUAAGGAAGACAAAAGCUUCGUGGUCAGGUAAGUACAGUAAGGUGACACGUGUGGUGUGUGCGUCUCUGUGUCACAGGGUGGCUCCAUGUGUCAUCACCGAGGGCAGCCAUGCUGCUGGUUCUUCUUUGUCCAGUCGUUAUUGGGUUACAUCUAAAAGCAAAGUUUUGAAUGAUGAUGGUCCUGGCUAUAUUGCCCAC
This is a long non-coding RNA of Erpetoichthys calabaricus (reedfish), 504 nucleotides long. RefSeq lists it as uncharacterized. The transcript is spliced from 3 exons. The record is from RefSeq and is a predicted model, not a curated record. Lineage: Eukaryota; Metazoa; Chordata; Cladistia; Polypteriformes; Polypteridae.